GAUCCAUCUAGUGGAUGCCAUUUGGUCUCUUUUUUUCCCCAAUCACUGAUUGGUCUUCUGGCACUGGCUUCUGAUUGGCUUGAGAUCUCCUUCUUGGUGGGCCAGUUGUCUUUCAAAUCAAAUGUUGGCAGGCGCAACUGUGCCCCCAUUGGCUGGGGGGAUGGAGCAGGGAGUGGGGAGGCCAAGGAGGGAGUUUCAAAAUGUAUAUAAAGGGCUGCUUUUGUGCCUCAGUCAGGAGAGGAGAGAACUCUGACAGGGACACAGCAGCACUGAGGAGAGCAGAGAUACUGUGGUCUGGGCCUGGCCCAGCAGUGAGUGGAGAGACAGACUGCCUGCUCUGUCUCCCUUUUUAUUUUAUUUUUAACCUUUUAAUUGCAGUGCCUGUCAACUACUUUACCCACCUGCCUUGUUUCCAGCAAUACCAGUGCUUUUAACUGGGUGCUGCUUGGAAAUUCAUUUUAUUAUUCUCGCUUCUAGCCAGCCUCACCAGUGACUUCAAUAACUGGGGUUCUGUAGUCCCCCCUGCCCCCAAUUAUUUUAAAAUAGUAACAGCAGCCUAGUGGCUUAACUGGGUGCUGUUUGGCAUUUAUAUUUCCUUUUUUGGUUUUCUCUCAUUGCUUGUAGCCACUAGCCAGUUCCCUUUAAUAACUGGGAUGCUGUGAUCCCCCCUCACACUCCACCCCCACCAUUUUAUUUAAAUAAAUUGUACAAACAGCACCAGUGCCUUUAAUUGGGUGCUGCUUGGAAUUUUAUUCCUUGUUUAUUACCACCACCACCACCCGUGCACAUGUUUUGGGUUUUAAAAAUUAUUUUGAGGCCUUAUUGCCACCUUUGCUGCUGUGGUCUGUGUGCUGCCUGCCUGUGCCUGGUGGAUUAAUUUUUGGUUUUUUUGUUUUUUGUUUGGCUGGUGUGUGGUGCCCGGCACAGUCAGGGGUUCCUGACUGGUGCCCACUCACCCUCCCCGCCAGAUGUUGAGUACUGGUGCCUGCUUGGUCCAAUUGUGCCUUCGAGAGCGACAUCAGCCAGACUCCAGCCGAAGAUGCCAUUGGAAGCCCCAGCCAAAGAUGCCAGAUAGGCUGUGGUUCUUCAGAAUUACUUGGCUCCAGUGCAAGUUUCUCCUCUUCCUUCCUCACCAUGGAUAGAGUGCAGAGCACACUUCAGGCUUCAGGCUCAGAUGAUGAUGACUCCACAUACCCAGUGACAAUGUCAUCCCAUCCAGCUCUCCUGAUCCACCAGUGUCUGCAGCCCCGUGUGAUCUUGAGCAGUGCCAUUCACAUUACCCGCAAAGGACACAUUGUCGAGCAAACUAUCUGCAGGACUAAACAACACAGCAGUAGCAGAUCAUAAAUCUCUGGAUCAACUUUUUACCUGUGUUUUUGUAUUAUGUUCAUAGUUUUGUGUUCUGAAUUUUGUUGGUAUUUUGAUAGGGCCUGUCAUUUAUUUGGGGAGAAAUGAGGUAUUUUGUGUUUUUUGUUAAUCUAUUCCUUGACCCAGGCUAGGCUUGCCACCUGUUCUUUAUUUCAAAGAACAGUUCUUGAUUUAGCAUUAAUGUGUACCUGUUCUUUAUCAACUUAAUAAAGAACGCAGUUUGUUCUAUAUUCUUAGCACUCGGAGGGAGGCCAGUCACUGACUGGAGUGAACACACAAUGAAGGGACUGGCUUCAUGUUGUAGGCCUCUAGAAAGCAGUCUUCUUCAGCCCUGCAGGCUGGAUAGCAGAUUGCACUCUAGUACUACAACUCCCAUGAUGAAGCUUGUUUUUGGAGCCAAAAGUUCACCUUUGCCCCUGCAAGUGUUAGGAGGAGGCUGAGCCUUGUGGAGCAAAGAGCAGCCAGGCCUGUGAAGGUGUGGUCCCUUCUGCAAAAGUCUCUCCCUAGAGUUGAGCAGCCUAACUGUCUGUCAUCUUUUUCCACCCAACCUCCAGUAAAAAAGGCAGGAGAAUGCAAAAAUAUUGUGAAGAAUGGGAAAGGAGUUCUGCUAGGUGUCUAAAGUGCACGAUAAUGCUUUGAAAGCUUGUUUAAAUAUAUGCAGCACACACUCUUUAGUUUCACACAGUGGAGUGUGUGAGGUGAAACGGCAAGCAUGCAGCUGUGGAGAAGGUCACAUUCGCAACAUUUGAAUGAGGGGCCAAAAUCAACCAUACCCAAGUUUCUAAUUAAUCACAGUUCAUCAGAAUCCAAUAAGGUGUCUGCAUAAAGAUUUUCUUAAUCAUUAUGUAAGAAGGAGUCUAAUGAGAGUGUGGGUAAAAUAUAAAAAAUGGUUGGAAUCUAAAAUUCCAUUAUGGUUAUCCCCGAUUGAAGCUUUAGCACGUAAAGAGACAAAUAUGCAAUCUGAAUGGGGUACCUAUAGGGAUUUGUUAUGUUUCCAAGAAAAGGGCUGUACAUUAAAAAACCUAAUCAAAGUACAAAAUUUGGUUAGUAACUGGUUUCAGUACCAUCAGUUAAAUGAAAUCUAUAAGAAGGAUCUUAAAGUUGUAUUUGAGGAUCAAAUGUUGAGAUUUGAGAAGGAGCUGUGUGAAAAUGAUGAAAAAUUAGUUUCUAAGAUGUAUAAGCUGUGGCUUUUGGAGGAGACAAGAGAUGAAGUGGUUAAAACGACUAUGAUAAAAUGGGCUCAAGAUGUGGGUCAUAAUAUAGAUAUGGCAGCUUGGGGGAAAUUAUGGAAAAUGGAUUUAAAGUUCACUGCAUGUUAUACUUUAAAAGAAAAUUAUUAUAAGAUGAUGUACAGGUGGUAUUUUGACACCCCAAAAAAUAGCAUUAAUGUAUAAAAAUGUUCCAAAUAAAUGUUGGAAAUGUGGACAUUGUGAAGGAACUUUUUUUCAUAUGUGGUGGUCUUGCAGGAAGGCAAAGGCCUUUUGGGAUAUGAUAUAUAAUGAGUUGAAGAAAAUUUUUUAUAUGACAUUUCCUAAGGGGCCAGAAUCCUUCCUGCUGGGAAUAACGCAAGGAGAGUUUUCCAGAAGAAACUUAACAUUUUUUAUGUAUGCAAGCACGGCAGCCAGAAUAGUAUAUGCGCAGAAAUGGAAGGACAAUGAAAUGCCCUCAAAAGAAGAUUGGUAGAUAAAAAUUUUGGAAUAUGCUGAGAUGGCAAAACUUACAGUACUGAUAAGGGAUGAAAACUUGGACUCUUUUAAAGAAGACUGGAAACCAUUCUUACUUUACUUAAAGAACUAUUUUUCUAAUAUGGACCUUUCAGCAGGGUUUGAAAUUUAGUAAUAAUAGCAGGUUGGGUAGAGUAAAAUCGAGUUUGCAAUGUGUAGGAUAUAUGUUUUGAAUUACUAUAGCAAUGGUUGACUUGUAUAGUUAAUGAAUCACACAGAUUGAUGAGCGGGAAGUCUAUAUUUACUUAAUUAGAUGUAAUGGGAUGGUUAAGAUAUUGUAAAAACCAAUAAAAACUUUA
This is a long non-coding RNA of Hemicordylus capensis (graceful crag lizard), 3391 nucleotides long. RefSeq lists it as uncharacterized. The record is from RefSeq and is a predicted model, not a curated record. The transcript is spliced from 3 exons. Lineage: Eukaryota; Metazoa; Chordata; Lepidosauria; Squamata; Cordylidae.